UUUUUUGGAGGGCAAGUCUGGUGCCAGCAGCCGAGGAAAUUCAGCUCAAUAGCGUAUAUUAAGUUGUUGCAGUUAAAAAGCUCGUAGUUGAAUUUCGGGAUUGACACAUCGGUCGUGCCUUAAGGGGUAUGAACUGGUGUAGUCAAUUUCUCACCUUCUGGAGAACCGCGAUGCCCUUAAUUGGGUGUCGCGGGGAACCAGGACCUUUACUUUGAAAAAAUUAGAGUGUUUAAAGCAGGCAUUUUGCUUGAAUACAUUAGCAUGGAAUAAUAAAAUAGGACGGCAUGAUUCUAUUUUGUUGGUUUCUAGGAUCACCGUAAUGAUUAAUAGGGAUAGUUGGGGGCAUUAGUAUUCAAUUGUCAGAGGUGAAAUUCUUGGAUUUAUUGAAGACUAACUACUGCGAAAGCAUUUGCCAAGGAUGUUUUCAUUAAUCAAGAACGAAAGUUAGGGGAUCGAAGACGAUCAGAUACCGUCGUAGUCUUAACCAUAAACUAUGCCGACUAGGAAUCAGACGAUGUUAAUUUUUAAUGACUCUUGACCUUACGGGAAACCAAAGUGUUUGGGUUCAAA
RNAcentral lists this ribosomal RNA (570 nucleotides) under Entrophospora lamellosa. Its description in RNAcentral is "SSU rRNA". It matches the Rfam family "Eukaryotic small subunit ribosomal RNA", at positions 539 to 1116 of the family's 1831-position model. The record is from RNAcentral. Lineage: Eukaryota; Fungi; Glomeromycota; Glomeromycetes; Entrophosporales; Entrophosporaceae.